GCUGUGGCUCAGUGGUAAAGCAUCUGCUUGGCAUGCAGAGGAUCCCAGGUUCAAUCGCCGUUAAAAGAAGCA
Molecule: transfer RNA, 72 nt
Filed under: Sphaerodactylus townsendi
Lineage: Eukaryota; Metazoa; Chordata; Lepidosauria; Squamata; Sphaerodactylidae
Description: tRNA-Ala
Source: RNAcentral